CGGUCAGUAGGUUGGUCGUGCCACCGGUACGUACUGGACUCACUGAUUCCUCCUUCCUGAAGAACCGUAAUGCCAUUAAUUUGGUGUUGCGGGGAAACAGGACUGUUACUUUGAAAAAAUUAGAGUGUUUAAAGCAAGCUAACGCUUGAAUACAUUAGCAUGGAAUAAUGAAAUAGGACGAUCGAUCCUAUUUUGUUGGUUUCUAGGAUUGACGUA
Molecule: ribosomal RNA, 216 nt
Filed under: Glomeromycotina sp.
Lineage: Eukaryota; Fungi; Glomeromycota
Description: partial small subunit ribosomal RNA
Rfam family: Eukaryotic small subunit ribosomal RNA (bases 40-216)
Source: RNAcentral